UGCCUGGCGGCUUUAGCGCGGUGGUCCCACCUGACCCCAUGCCGAACUCAGAAGUGAAACGCCGUAGCGCCGAUGGUAGUGUGGGGCUUCCCCAUGUGAGAGUAGGACACUGCCAGGCAU
Molecule: ribosomal RNA, 120 nt
Filed under: Trabulsiella guamensis
Lineage: Bacteria; Pseudomonadati; Pseudomonadota; Gammaproteobacteria; Enterobacterales; Enterobacteriaceae
Also listed under: 1 other name
Source: RNAcentral